GACGAACGCUGGCGGCGUGCCUAAUACAUGCAAGUCGAGCGGACCAAAGGGAGCUUGCUCCUGGAGGUUAGCGGCGAACGGGUGAGUAACACGUGGGCAACCUGCCUGUAAGACUGGGAUAACAUCGAGAAAUCGGUGCUAAUACCGGAUAAUAAAAAGAACUGCAUGGUUCUUUUUUGAAAGAUGGUUUCGGCUAUCACUUACAGAUGGGCCCGCGGCGCAUUAGCUAGUUGGUGAGGUAACGGCUCACCAAGGCGACGAUGCGUAGCCGACCUGAGAGGGUGAUCGGCCACACUGGGACUGAGACACGGCCCAGACUCCUACGGGAGGCAGCAGUAGGGAAUCUUCCGCAAUGGACGAAAGUCUGACGGAGCAACGCCGCGUGAGUGAUGAAGGUUUUCGGAUCGUAAAACUCUGUUGUUAGGGAAGAACAAGUGCCGUUCGAAAGGGCGGCACCUUGACGGUACCUAACGAGAAAGCCACGGCUAACUACGUGCCAGCAGCCGCGGUAAA
This 513-nucleotide ribosomal RNA is filed under the name uncultured bacterium. Its description in RNAcentral is "bacterial SSU rRNA". It matches the Rfam family "Bacterial small subunit ribosomal RNA", at positions 28 to 524 of the family's 1533-position model. The record is from RNAcentral.